This 497-nucleotide ribosomal RNA is filed under the name uncultured bacterium. RNAcentral's name for it is "partial 16S ribosomal RNA". It matches the Rfam family "Bacterial small subunit ribosomal RNA", at positions 28 to 507 of the family's 1533-position model. The record is from RNAcentral.
GAUGAACGCUGGCGGCGUGCUUAAUACAUGCAAGUCGAGCGAACAGGCGAGGCUCUUGCUGCUUUGACGUUAGGGGAGGACGGGUGAGUAACACGUGGGUAACCUACCUAUCAGACUGGGAUAACCUCGGGAAACCGGAGCUAACACCGGAUAAUAUCUCGAACCGCAUGGUUCGAUAGUGAAAGAUGGCUCUGCUAUCACUUAUAGAUGGACCUGGGCCGUAUUAGCUAGUUGGUAAGGUAACGGCCUACCAAGGCAACGAUACGUAGACGACCGGCGAGGGGGAUCGGCCACAUGGGAGCGGGGACACCCACAAGGGUACUGCGAGAGGCAGCAGUAGGGUACCGGCCGCAGUAGGCGAAAACCUUACGGAGUAACGCCACGUGAGUGAUGAAGAUGUUGCGAGCGGAAAAAUCGGUUACGAGUGAUGAACCACCUUCUAAUUAACUGAGCACGGCUUGACGGUACCUAGUCAGAAAGCCACGGCUAACUACGUG